GGCUCGAUGGCGGAUGGUCCGCACCUGCAAUCUGUUCCAAGGCCUUUGAAGAUGGUAGGCAGGUAACGCCCGUUCGACUCGGGCUCGAGCCA
Molecule: non-coding RNA, 92 nt
Organism: Mycena epipterygia
Lineage: Eukaryota; Fungi; Basidiomycota; Agaricomycetes; Agaricales; Mycenaceae
Source: the annotation of a GenBank genome assembly